This is a long non-coding RNA of Pseudophryne corroboree (corroboree frog), 611 nucleotides long. RefSeq lists it as uncharacterized. The record is from RefSeq and is a predicted model, not a curated record. NCBI's taxonomy places the organism in Eukaryota, Metazoa, Chordata, Amphibia, Anura, Myobatrachidae. The transcript has 3 exons.
CAAACUGAAUGCUGAGCAGAGCUGAGCCUGUCAUGCAGCUGCCUCAGAGGCAGGAGGAGCAUGAAGAAGCGUGGGGGAGAGACCUGACAGGGGAUUCCAGAGAUCACACUCAGGAGCUGGGAUCCUACAGAGGAAGCGCUGCAAGUGGAGGGGCUGUACCAUGUGAUCCUGCACUCGGGCUGCUCAGCGUGUGGUCACCAUAGCAACCCAGGACAUCGUCAACCCGGAAGUCCAUGGUGAGACACAAGCGUCUCGGUUGCUGUGGAUCCCGGUGGUGGCGAGCAGGAAAUACGUCAUGUGACAUGACGUGGAACCUGUGAGCGCUUGGGAAGUGACGAUGGGAUUGGCUGUCUGGCGCGGGUAUUUUAAGUGGGCCAAAUGUUGCGGCGAGUCGGCUGGUCACUAACCAACACAGCAGAGGUACAAACACAAAGCAGUUUAUAGCACAUCUACGAAACAUUGCCACACGGCAGUGCAAAAAUUAAAAGUGGUACAAGAUGGAAUUUUCCUUGGGCCACCCUUAUUAAAAAGGACAUGCACAAUUUAACAAACCAAGCUCUACAGUGACAGGGACGUACACUUUUGUGGCUGAAGUGCUUGCUUUGUUUGGG